Molecule: ribosomal RNA, 249 nt
Filed under: uncultured bacterium
Lineage: Bacteria
Description: partial 16S ribosomal RNA
Rfam family: Bacterial small subunit ribosomal RNA
Source: RNAcentral
UACGUAGGGUGCGAGCGUUGUUCGGAAUCAUUGGGCGUAAAGGGCGUGUAGGCGGUUUGUUAAGUCAUGUGUGAAAUCCCUCGGCUCAACCGGGGAACGACGCUUGAAACUGGCAAGCUAGAGUACCAAAGAGGGCGGUGGAAUUCCCGGUGUAGCGGUGAAAUGCGUAGAUAUCGAGAGGAACACCUGCGGCGAAGGCGGGUUGCUGGGCGUGAUGACUGACGCUGAGGCGCGAAAGCCAGGGGAGCG